UAGAAGUCUGAUGUCCCUUUAUACCACAGGCUGGACAGUCCAUGUCCUUACAACAGCAGGUAGAAGUCUGAUGUCCCUUUAUACCACAGGCUGGACAGUCCAUGUCCUUACAACAGGCUGGACAGUCCAUCUCCUUACAACAGGCUGGACAGUCCAUGUCCUUACAACAGGCUGGACAGUCCAUGUCCUUACAACAGCAGGUAGAAGUCUGAUGUCCCUUUAUACCACAGGCUGGACAGUCCAUGUCCUUACAACAGCAUGUAGAAUCCAUGUCCUUACAACAGCAGGUAGAAGUCUGAUGUCCCUUUAUAUCACAGGCUGGACAGUCCAUGUCCUUACCACAGGCUGGACAGUCCAUGUCCUUACACCAGCAUGUAGAAGUCUGAUGUCCCUUUAUACCACAGGCUGGACAGUCCAUGUCCUUACAACAGGCUGGACAGUCCAUGUCCUUACAACAGGCUGGACAGUCCAUGUCCUUACAACAGCAGGUAGACUGGAUAUUAUCCCCCUAUGUCUUAUUACCUGUUCUGUCUGGAUGUAACAGGCUGACUAGUAAAUUACAUGUCUUUGGCCCCAUUACACUAAAAACUUGUCCUCAACCAUGUAAUUUACAAUUACAAAAUAUUCAAACCGUUCUGAAUAUGAGCUCCACUGCUCAAUGGUUCCAUCAA
Long non-coding RNA from Oncorhynchus tshawytscha (Chinook salmon), 671 nucleotides. NCBI's taxonomy places the organism in Eukaryota, Metazoa, Chordata, Actinopteri, Salmoniformes, Salmonidae. The record is from Ensembl.